This 526-nucleotide ribosomal RNA is filed under the name Fusarium culmorum. RNAcentral describes it as "eukaryotic LSU rRNA". The stretch from base 194 to 347 matches the Rfam family "5.8S ribosomal RNA". The record is from RNAcentral. Lineage: Eukaryota; Fungi; Ascomycota; Sordariomycetes; Hypocreales; Nectriaceae.
AGUCGUAACAAGGUCUCCGUUGGUGAACCAGCGGAGGGAUCAUUACCGAGUUUACAACUCCCAAACCCCUGUGAACAUACCUUAUGUUGCCUCGGCGGAUCAGCCCGCGCCCCGUAAAAAGGGACGGCCCGCCGCAGGAACCCUAAACUCUGUUUUUAGUGGAACUUCUGAGUAUAAAAAACAAAUAAAUCAAAACUUUCAACAACGGAUCUCUUGGUUCUGGCAUCGAUGAAGAACGCAGCAAAAUGCGAUAAGUAAUGUGAAUUGCAGAAUUCAGUGAAUCAUCGAAUCUUUGAACGCACAUUGCGCCCGCCAGUAUUCUGGCGGGCAUGCCUGUUCGAGCGUCAUUUCAACCCUCAAGCCCAGCUUGGUGUUGGGAGCUGCAGUCCUGCUGCACUCCCCAAAUACAUUGGCGGUCACGUCGAGCUUCCAUAGCGUAGUAAUUUACACAUCGUUACUGGUAAUCGUCGCGGCCACGCCGUUAAACCCCAACUUCUGAAUGUUGACCUCGGAUCAGGUAGGAAUA